Molecule: ribosomal RNA, 163 nt
Filed under: uncultured bacterium
Lineage: Bacteria
Description: partial 16S rRNA
Rfam family: Bacterial small subunit ribosomal RNA
Source: RNAcentral
UAGGGAAUCUUCCACAAUGGGCGAAAGCCUGAUGGAGCAACGCCGCGUGUGUGAUGAAGGGUUUCGGCUCGUAAAACACUGUUGUAAGAGAAAAUGACAUUGAGAGUAACUGUUCAAUGUGUGACGGUAUCUUACCAGAAAGGAACGGCUAAAUACGUACCAG